GCCGGAGUAGCUCAUUGGUAGAGCAGUGGAUUGAAAAUCCAUGUGUAGGCAGUCCGAUUCUGCCCUUCGGCACCA
Molecule: transfer RNA, 75 nt
Filed under: Candidatus Peregrinibacteria bacterium CG_4_10_14_0_2_um_filter_38_24
Lineage: Bacteria; Candidatus Peregrinibacteriota
Also listed under: 3 other names
Description: tRNA-Phe
Rfam family: tRNA
About the family: Transfer RNA (tRNA) molecules are approximately 80 nucleotides in length. Their secondary structure includes four short double-helical elements and three loops (D, anti-codon, and T loops).
Source: RNAcentral